Zalophus californianus (California sea lion) is the source of this 1480-nucleotide long non-coding RNA. RefSeq lists it as uncharacterized. The record is from RefSeq and is a predicted model, not a curated record. NCBI's taxonomy places the organism in Eukaryota, Metazoa, Chordata, Mammalia, Carnivora, Otariidae. The transcript has 8 exons.
UCUGUUCCCGUCCUUUGUUCUCUUACCUUGCGGUUAUGGUUUUCCUGUACUUUGUAGUUCUCUGCUAGUCUUGUAUAAAUCCAUGUUUUGCUGGUAAAAUAAUUGUUAGUUUUAUUUUUAAGGUUAACGGUAGUUGGUGAUCAGAGGUGGGAUACAGAGAAGACCCCCGACGGAUUCUGGGCCUGGUGAGUAACCAGGUGCUGGUACUCACGCUCACUACUUUCUUGCUGGCCCUGGGGUUUGAGGGAGAUGAUGACCUUAAGCCAUAAGGAGAUUUCAUCUAUUGGAAAAGACCUCUCCAGAAAGACUCUUCAGCCUCUCUGGGAAGGCCUCAUGAGGAACUGCUAACCAGUCUUUGUGCCACCAAACUCCAGGGAACAGACUCUUGGAUUCACACGAGGCAUCUAAAGAUAGUAUUGAACCCGACCCGCAUGCCAUCUGGUGACCUGAAAGUAAAGACUUCCUGGAAUUGAAGCAGGUGACAUCUGCUAAGAUGGCUUUCCUGAGAUGUUCAGACCAGGAACUCUGGAACACACAAGCGACUGUUGACACCUGAUUUCUCUUUGGCAGAUGACCAGAUAGAUUCAGCAUUAACAAUGUGCAGAAUAUGCCAAAUGUGGGGGAAAUGACAAAUGUGCCAGAUGAUUUAAUAUCGAAUAAAGAUAAAGUGAUGCAUGUCACCUUCCUGCAAGGCAACCAGUUUGCAGAUCUGGCCAGAGGGAAAAUUACUGGGCAACAGAAUGAAAAGGAGGCAUAAGUCAGCCCAGCUCUCUGAACCCUAGAAAAGGCAACUUCCCUCCAGCUCAUGAAAGAGGACGAUUGUGCUCAGUACCACUUAUCCGGUGCCAACAAUCUGAUUAAAAAAUAAGAUAAGCCCUCUGGGCAAUGUGCACAGAAAAAAUAGCUAUACCCCUGAUCAGAAGGUUCCAAAGUCUAGAAUUGAGCUCGUUGUUGUGCCCAACAGAAAAGGAAAGAAGAAAAUCAAGGAGCGAAAAGAAGACAUUUCUGGAGAAGGUGCUGGUGAGGAAUCAGCUAAGAUUGUUACCACUGAGAACUAGCACAGCAGUAACCACCAUUCACUCCAGUGACCCCUGGUGUGUCUCUUGUGCUUGUAGAAGUGGGACAGCUGGAUAUAAGCAACCAGAUACUCUGCAUCAGAAAUGAGUCUGCUCGUGAAUUCUUAGAAGAAAAUCAAAGAGGAUGCAGCAGCGUCUUCCUUCCCUGUUUUGAGAUGCUUGGUAGACUAGGAUCCCAAGUGUGUGAAGAAAGUCCACACCCUCAUCGAGGACCACUCAAACUAGAGCAAAUUCAAAGAAAAUACUUCAGGCACUAGAUCCUGGCUUUAUCCAACUUUAGAAGGCUGAAGAGACAAGUACACCAACCAAGACAGGGAUAACAAGAAAUGGCUGUUCCAGGAAGAAGCAAGACACAGGGUCUCAACUCGCACAAAGACAGAGCACAAUUGCACAGAAAAUCACCA